Molecule: long non-coding RNA, 1811 nt
Filed under: Ricinus communis (castor bean)
Lineage: Eukaryota; Viridiplantae; Streptophyta; Magnoliopsida; Malpighiales; Euphorbiaceae
Description: long non-coding RNA (RCOM_LNC000345)
Source: RNAcentral
GGCCCGUGACCGGCACUAGGGAAUGGGUAGGCUUAAGGCCACCGAAACCCGUAGUAAGCCUGACACUCACUGAUUUAAACAAAUCUCAUCUCAAAUUAAUAUUAUUAAAACCACAAAUUAUCUUAAUAGUUACACUUUACAAAAUUUAAUCGGUCUGCCAGAAGAACUAGGCGAGACCCGAAGCUCAGAAAAUUUACAACUGAUACAUCUACUAAUUACUACUGCGGAGAAUCUAAGAUUUACCAAUUUACAUACCAAAUCAAAUACAUCACCCGAUGAUGAAGGAGUCGGAUUACUGAAUAAGAGUCGCGGGAGAACUAACAGUCACGAAUCUGAAAAAAAAAAUAUAAAUGGAGACUGUCAGUCUCGAGAGUGAGUUAAAAUCAAAUAAUCUGGGGACUAUUGCAUUCUUCUCAGAAAACAUAGAUUAUUCAAAUCAGUAUAUCAAACCAUGCUCGUAAAUACAAAUCAUACUAUAAUCAUACCCUAUUACUUUCUUCACAGAAAAUAUUAAUCAUUCGAAUUAAUAUAUCAACCAUGCACGUAAAUACAAUCCAUAUUAUAAUUCAAAUACCAUAAUAAAUAAAUAAAUAAAAAUAUAUAUUUACUUUUACGGGACGAGUGGCUCGGUAGAACCCUAAACCCCAAAAUCUAGUAGCCAUUUGGCUCUCUUAGUCCAAUAAUACUGGCGCCCCGAGAGCAAUGCUCGACCAGGGACCUUACCUCCAGUCUGGUCACUUAAGUAUCCAAAUAAGAAAUCUAGUAGCCAUUCGGCUCUCUUAAUCCAAUAAGACUGGCGCCCCGAGAGCAAUGCUCGACCAGGGACCUUACCUCCAGUCUGGUCACUUAAGUAUCCAAAUAAACCGGGCCCCGAGAGCAAUGCUCGACCAGGGACCUUACCUCCGGCAAUCAACUGAACUCAGCCCAGAGAGCAAUGCUCGAUCAGGGCAAACAAAUCCAUAAUAACCUUAUGUCCAUAAUCAUUACCGGUGCGCACGCGGUCCUGAUGUAACCCAUCAGGCGGCAUGUUCUACAAGCCACGUUUCCCAAGACACAAUCAUCCAUUUAAUAAAUAUCAUUGUAUAAUGAAGUCAUUCAACCAUAUCAAAUUAAUGAUUAACAAUUAAGAGUAAAACAUCAGGCAGCUCAGGUGGAAAACUGAUGAUAUUUGGAAUUAUUAUAACAUUACUAUAAUAAUACUCAUAUUAUCUUCAAUAAUUAAUAAUCCAGUAAAAUUAAUUACGUUGAGAUAUUAGUAACCAUGUUAAACAUAAACUUCCAAAAUAGCAUAUUAAAAUCAGACUUAGCAAUAGUGCAAUAAUUAAAUGACUUUAACUCACAGGAUUGGGCGACCUCCUAGCUCUGCUCCGGUGCCUCGGUUGGAGCGAGCCGAACAGACAGAUCAUCUAAUCACGGAAAACAAUUUAUCAAUACGCUGAGACAAUCCAUCAUUAAUCCUAGGUCUAGACUCCUAGGACUGACUGUCUAAGAAUCUCGACUCGGGAGAAUUCUACCGAAAAUCCGGCAGAACCUCCCCUACAACACGAACAUUACCCCCCGUAAAAACAGGUCCAGGACCUGCCAGAAGAACACUUCAAAUACUUAACGAUUCAAACAAUAGGAGUCGGGUCCCCAAACUUCACUAUUUCCCGACUCCGCCACACAGCACAAAAUACGAGGCAGGCAAACUGACAGACAAUUAUUUUUGACUCACAAAAAUCAUCAAAUACUCAAUAUAAUCCAAUAGAAAAAAUUAAACCAAGAAUUUCUAAAAUUAACGGGCCAAAGAAAAUUACCGAGACGCUCGGUCG